This 500-nucleotide ribosomal RNA is filed under the name uncultured bacterium. RNAcentral describes it as "partial 16S ribosomal RNA". It matches the Rfam family "Bacterial small subunit ribosomal RNA", at positions 30 to 523 of the family's 1533-position model. The record is from RNAcentral.
AUUGAACGCUGGCGGAAUGCUUUACACAUGCAAGUCGAACGGCAGCACGGGGGCAACCCUGGUGGCGAGUGGCGAACGGGUGAGUAAUACAUCGGAACGUGCCCAGUCGUGGGGGAUAACGUAGCGAAAGUUACGCUAAUACCGCAUACGAUCUACGGAUGAAAGCGGGGGACCGUAAGGCCUCGCGCGAUUGGAGCGGCCGAUGUCAGAUUAGGUAGUUGGUGAGGUAAAGGCCCACCAAGCUGACGAUCUGUAGCUGGUCUGAGAGGACGACCAGCCACACUGGGACUGAGACACGGCCCAGACUCCUACGGGAGGCAGCAGUGGGGAAUUUUGGACAAUGGGCGCAAGCCUGAUCCAGCCAUUCCGCGUGCAGGACGAAGGCCUUCGGGUUGUAAACUGCUUUUGUACGGAACGAAAAGGCUCUGGUUAAUACCUGGGGCUCAUGACGGUACCGUAAGAAUAAGCACCGGCUAACUACGUGCCAGCAGCCGCGGUAA